Marmota monax (woodchuck) is the source of this 793-nucleotide long non-coding RNA. RefSeq lists it as uncharacterized. The record is from RefSeq and is a predicted model, not a curated record. NCBI's taxonomy places the organism in Eukaryota, Metazoa, Chordata, Mammalia, Rodentia, Sciuridae. The transcript has 3 exons.
GAAAUCAUUGCACCAGACCUCCAGUGCCAAGAGAGAUCUCUUCACACACCAACCUCUUUGUGAGCGAACAGGACACCAGCCCCACCCAAAAUACUGUUAACCAUUGACUGAAAGGCCAGAGGGGACACUGACAUCCUGUCAAUCUUCUAGAAGUGAAAUAAGGAGGGCUAACAUGGACACUGCUCUUCUUAUGUGCCAGGAACUGGGCUAAGUCUUUUACUUAAUCAAUUCAUUGAAUCCUCAUGAUGGCUCUGUCAGGUUGCACAUUCCCUAUGGGCACUGAAAUUAAAGAAGAGGUAAAAUACAUCAUCAUUUGCUGUUUGGAUCUAGAAGGGAACAGAGUAAAGAGUAUAAAAGCAUGUUAAUCUUGCUGCGGUGAACCUGAUCAGAGAAGAACCAAACUCAGAAAGGAGAAGGCAUGAACUCCUUUUGGGGAAAAGGAGCACAGAUAAUGAAGCUUGAGGAGUUCACAGUUUUACUGGUCGCCUGCAGUUACAGAGAAAUAAAACUCACCCUGUAAAGAUCUUGGAACUCUCAUUGAUCCAGGAGAAGCCAUGUAAAAGGAGACCUAGGGCUAUGGAAAUGAACCAAGUUCAGGGUUGACAACCAUCCAUGAAGGCUGAUAACAGCAGGGAAGGAAACAAUGAACGAAUGUGUGCAUUUCCUCCAGAUUUGGAGGAAAGUUAGACAAUUUUGUUAGGCUUUAUGAUUUUGUUAAUGAAUUAACCAGAAGAAACAGUAGUCAAAGACCAAUUUGAUUUUGAAAAGAGCCAAAUAAAUUUGGAAUAAACUG